Small nucleolar RNA from Candida albicans SC5314, 98 nucleotides. The record is from RefSeq and is a predicted model, not a curated record. Lineage: Eukaryota; Fungi; Ascomycota; Pichiomycetes; Serinales; Debaryomycetaceae.
AAUAACGUGAAGCAUUAUGUGGGUGGUGUGUAAAUAGGUUUUGUAUAGAAAUAUAAAGAGAGUUUGUGAUAUCUAAAUUCAAAAUAGUAUUGAGAUUA